UAUAAAAUCCCCUUUCUACCUUCCAUCCAGUUUAGCAACUAGUGGUUUGAAGUCAAUGUAUUAUUUUUAAUUUAUAAAUACUACAAAUUCAUUUUACAGUAAAAACUAAAAAAAGAAAGAAAAAGAAAGAUGAAAAGACCCAUAACAAGUAUCAGAGUAAAGGAAGUAAAAUCACUCGUGCUUCCUGUGAGAGUCAUAUGCCACUUGUGCUGAUCUCAAAGCGCUUUUCUCUACAGUGAGCCUUGGUGUUGAUCAGAAAAGAAAGCAUAAUGCUGAUCCUGAAUCAGUGUAAAAGGUCUGUUUGUACCCCAUGAGCUCAGAUGAAAGAGGAAGAGUGUGUGUAGGCAUGUGGUGGAGGCGUGUUGCAAUAGUUGGUCCUAUGGUGCAAUAUACAUCGUGUGUUCAGUAGGUAUAGCUUUGUGGUUCAUCUGUGGUGAACAGAACAUUUCCGACUCCUAUUUUACUCUCUUUUUUUAAUUGAAAGAGGUGGAACAGAUUGCCUCAUGUGGUCGUCUGUGGGUUGGUAACUGAAGGGCACAGACAUUUUCCUCAGGAAAAGGAAAUGUAAGAUGUAUUGAUUUGAAGAUAUUAAGAAAUCAGGAGUCUGGUGAGGUUUUUUUUCAUAUGUUUGUGCCCCCUCCAGCACUAUAAGCCUUAUAAAGAGUCUUACGGUGACAUCAUGAAGUUGGUAUAACACCGCAAUGAACAAGUGAGUGGUCUUCAAUUCAAACACCCUUCUGUUUGGGGAAGCGAGAAUGGCGUUUCCAACACAACGCAACAACAGUGCCAAGGCAUUGGAACCACAUAAAUCUUUGACCUUUCAUGUACUUGCACAAACAUAUAACCAUUGAUAAUCACAAAUUGAAUAAAUGAGACUCUACCUUUAUAACUGAGUUAAAACUCAGAAUAGUAGUCAAUAGUAGUAUAUGGCAUGUUUGCUGAUAGAAGCAAACUCUGUGCCAACUUUAUUAGCUACAUUUGCAUAGAAUUUCAGGUAGAAGAGUAAAUCAUGAUUAACAUGGAAAAAGAUGAGCUUUAGUCUCUAACCAAACACCUACAAGGUGAAGUAACAAGCUAGUCAUUAAAUUCCCAGCAAUGUUGUGCUAAGAAUGAUCCACUAACGGGGUGGACAACUCAUAAAUUCAUUAGCUAGCCCAAUUGGCAAGCGGAAGCUCCAUGUUUUGGUUGUGGAAAUGUAAUUGAUUAGGCUAAAAAAUGCUAUCUAAAGUAAUGUAUAGAAAUUCCCACAUAGUAGAUGACUAUAGCCAUAGUUAUUAUCCUGUUCUAAGACAGUGUCUGAGAUUUACUGUUUGUAUACUGUAUUUACAUCCUCAGCAAAAAGUCAGCAAGUCAUUGGCCAACAUUUUGGCUAUGAGAUGUUGUUUUUCUCUUCACGUUGCACGUAAAUGAUAUUAUUUGAGCAUCUUUAGCUUUGGCUUUGUUUUAACGCAAUGAAGGCGUUCAGUAAGCAGGAGUGUGUUCUAUUUUGCACUUUAUUUUGCUCAAUUGUCUGAAUGUUUCACACAUUCUUGUGAAUGUUCCUGAUUCUGAAAAUAUGGUCACUAAUUAAUCAACCUGGUAAAACCCGAUGUGUGUAGUGCAGCAGGUAGCUACAGCAUUGCAGUGUGUCAGAUCACUAUGACGCAUACGGUAUACACAGUACAUAAAAAAUAAAAACUUCUGUUUUGAGAAUAGUAAGAAAGCUUUUCUUUCUCUAAUUGUUGAAUGAGAGAAGAAAAAAAACACUGGCCACCUUUAGACUACUGAGUGUACUUAUCUUGUGGGAAUCUAUGAAUAAAAAAACUUGUAUCCUGGGCACAUAAUAUUCCUGCCCUGGGGAAUUGGGAUACCCUGGUCUUCGUCCACCCCUGAGUAUCUACAUAAUAUUUGGACAGUGGUGGGGUCCUGUUGUGGUUUCUGUCCCACAGAGUUAGUAAUUGUAUAUCUACAAAUUGCACAUCUCUCUUUCUCUCUCUCUCUGUUUCCUCUCUUUCUGUCCCUAGACACACUGUGUGUGUGUGUGUCAUUGUAUUUCAUAUCAAUAUUAAUUCAGAAAUUUUUUUACAAUUUCAGGAGACAUAAAAUCUUUUACUAAUCAUACCAUAAAUCAUAGGCUUUACAAAACAACCCAUGUAACUAAGAGAUAGUUGCUAGCUAACAUUUUGAGGAAGCUCGCUGAAAACAUAAUGAGAGCAUGUAUGAUGUUGGGCUUCUACAGCCAUAAAUAGUAGAAGUGAAACAACACAAUCUGCAGCUAUCUGCUUCCAGAGCUUUGCCAAACUUCUUAAUUCAGUUUAGUCAAAUUCGAUUCUAUUUUAUUUGUAUAGUGCAGGGGUUCCCAGGUUCCCAACUAGGGGUCAGGUUUGGGAUAUCGCUCUUAUUAUGAAGACAUUUUUUUGAAGGAGCCACAUUCAAUCAAGCCGUUUAUAUGAAGUGUGUACAUGCUAUUUGAGUCGUUUUUGCUAUCCUGACAUGCUACUCUAGCACAGGAGUGUUUCUCCAUUCAUCUACAUCCGUAAUUCCUUAACAAUAAUGAAGGGAUCAACAGAAUUCAAAGAAAACAAACACAAAAAUAUGCAGAAAUAUUUAUUCAAUAGGGAUUUACAAGUCUAAAUUAUAAAUCUGGGAAAAACAUUUAGCAUGGUUAAGGCUUGGGACUGUAGAACAUUUGUAAUGCCCAAAAGUUUGGGAAGGCCUGUUAUAUCACUGUUAAAAAAUAGACAUUGUCACAAUGCAGCUUUCUAGAAAUCCAGCCCUAGAUUCCUAAUUAGCGAACCAGAGGCAACAGUGGCAAGAAAAAUUCCUUAAGAAGACAUAAGGAAGAAAUCAUGAGAGGAAGCAGACUCCAAAGCCAGCCCAUCCUCUUCUGAGUGUCACCGGAUAGUAAUCAUUACAAUCAGAUUUGGAUCAUUCUGUGCCAACCAGUUAUACAUCCUGUGUGACAAAUACACCAUGAAUUUCCUACAUGUUGUCGAGUGAUUUUACAGUAUAUUAUUAUUUAUUCUUUGCUAUUGUCCUGGCAGGGUUCUCUUGUGGAUUUCCAGUUGAAUCGACCUUCCUUACGUAAACCUCUCUUUUUCAGCUGUUGCCAGAAAACACAGAGCUCGGUUCAGACCUGGGAUGUAUUUGAGCAGCCUGCGUCUGAUGCUUGUGCGUUUGGGUUUCCUCUGCAGCGAGCUGAACGCGCCACACUGCUGCUUUUCUCCAGCGGGCGCCGAGGACGAUGAUGAUGCCGAUGAGGAAGAGCCCCUCAGG
Long non-coding RNA from Pangasianodon hypophthalmus (striped catfish), 3255 nucleotides. RefSeq lists it as uncharacterized. Lineage: Eukaryota; Metazoa; Chordata; Actinopteri; Siluriformes; Pangasiidae. The transcript is spliced from 2 exons. The record is from RefSeq and is a predicted model, not a curated record.